GUGUUCCCUGCCCUCUCGGGUAACCUACCACCCUUUGUUUAUUACACUUUGUUGCUUUGGCAAGCCUGCCCUCGGGCUGCUGGCUCCGGCCGGCGAGCGCUUGCCAGAGGACCUAAACUCUGUUUGUCUAUAAUGUCUGAGUACUAUAUAAUAGUUAAAACUUUCAACAACGGAUCUCUUGGUUCU
RNAcentral lists this unclassified non-coding RNA (186 nucleotides) under rhizosphere metagenome. RNAcentral's name for it is "partial ribosomal RNA internal transcribed spacer region". The record is from RNAcentral.